Molecule: ribosomal RNA, 253 nt
Filed under: uncultured bacterium
Lineage: Bacteria
Description: partial 16S ribosomal RNA
Rfam family: Bacterial small subunit ribosomal RNA
Source: RNAcentral
GACAGAGGGUGCAAACGUUGUUCGGAAUUACUGGGCGUAAAGCGUGUGUAGGCGGUCUCAUAAGUCGGAUGUGAAAGCCCUGGGCUCAACCCAGGAAGUGCACUCGAUACUGCGAGGCUAGAGUAUCGGAGAGGUUGGUGGAAUUCUCGGUGUAGAGGUGAAAUUCGUAGAUAUCGAGAGGAACACCGGUGGCGAAGGCGGCCAACUGGACGAAUACUGACGCUGAGACACGAAAGCGUGGGGAGCAAACAGG